This 264-nucleotide ribosomal RNA is filed under the name uncultured Planctomycetota bacterium. RNAcentral describes it as "uncultured planctomycete partial 16S ribosomal RNA". It matches the Rfam family "Bacterial small subunit ribosomal RNA", at positions 567 to 828 of the family's 1533-position model. Lineage: Bacteria; Pseudomonadati; Planctomycetota. The record is from RNAcentral.
AGCACGUAGGUGGGUUUGUAAGUCAGACGUGAAAGCCUUCUGUUCAACGGAAGAAUUGCAUCUGAAACUACAAACCUUGAGUGUAGGAGGGGAGAAUGGAACUUCUGGAGGAGCGGUGAAAUGCGUAGAUAUCAGAAGGAACGCCGGCGGCGAAAGCGAUUCUCUGGCCUAUUACUGACACUCAGUGUGCGAAAGCUAGGGGAGCAAACGGGAUUAGAUACCCCGGUAGUCCUGGCCGUAAAUGAUGGGCACUAAGUAGAGGGG